AAGUCGUAACAAGGUUUCCGUAGGUGAACCUGCGGAAGGAUCAUUACCAAUGGAGCAGCAUUCAUUUGCUUUGCUACCAUAUCCAUCCUUUUGUGCUUUACAUACAGUCCUCUGCGCCUAUGCGUCGUCUUCAUUGCUGUUGCUGCUGCUCUGCGGCAUGCGGGGUGAUGAAUGCGCGCGUAGGAUGCGGUGAAAAAACAUAUAGGAGUGAUUUUCGCUAGUCUUUGGGUCAUGAUCACGGUGCUAGCUCGUCUAGCAUUGUGUGCACCUAUGAAUGGGAUAAAGAUAACUUUUGGCAAUGGAUCUCUAGGCUCUC
RNAcentral lists this unclassified non-coding RNA (316 nucleotides) under fungal sp. RNAcentral describes it as "partial internal transcribed spacer region". The stretch from base 1 to 46 matches the Rfam family "Eukaryotic small subunit ribosomal RNA", at positions 1786 to 1831 of the family's 1831-position model. Lineage: Eukaryota; Fungi. The record is from RNAcentral.